GCGUUAUCGGAUACUGGGCGUAAAGCGCGGUUUAGCGAGAUGUGAAAGCCCCGGGCACAACCUGGGAACUGCAUUUCGAACUGGCAGACUAGAGUGUGAUAGAGGGUGGUAGAAUUUCAGGUGUAGCGGUGAAUGCGUAGAGAUCUGAAGGAAUACCGAUGGCGAAGGCAGCCACCUGGGUCAACACUGACGCUCAUGUACGAAAGCGUGGGGAGCAAACGGGAUUAGAUACCCCGGUAGUCCACGCCGUAAACGAUGUCUACUAGAAGCUGGGGUCUUCGGACAACUUUUUCAAAGCUAACGCAUUAAGUAGACCGCCUGGGGAGUACGGCCGCAAGGUUAAAACUCAAAUGAAUUGACGGGGGCCCGCACAAGCGGUGGAGCAUGUGGUUUAAUUCGAUGCAACGCGAAGAACCUUACCUACACUUGACAUACAGAGAACUUACCAGAGAUGGUUUGGUGCCUUCGGGACUCUGAUACAGGUGCUGCAUGGCUGUCGUCAGCUCGUGUUGUGAGAUGUUGGGUUAA
This 528-nucleotide ribosomal RNA is filed under the name Pseudoalteromonas sp. S2397. Its description in RNAcentral is "bacterial SSU rRNA". It matches the Rfam family "Bacterial small subunit ribosomal RNA", at positions 538 to 1083 of the family's 1533-position model. The record is from RNAcentral. Lineage: Bacteria; Pseudomonadati; Pseudomonadota; Gammaproteobacteria; Alteromonadales; Pseudoalteromonadaceae.